RNAcentral lists this long non-coding RNA (7877 nucleotides) under Triticum aestivum (bread wheat). RNAcentral's name for it is "long non-coding RNA (TAES_LNC023973)". The record is from RNAcentral. Lineage: Eukaryota; Viridiplantae; Streptophyta; Magnoliopsida; Poales; Poaceae.
AAAUAAUUACUAGGAAAAUGAGGUUGCAUUUUGGCAUGUGGCAAUGAUAUGGACAGGAAAAGGUGUCCAAGGAGUUUGAGGUAAAUUGGGAAAAGGAAAAUAGCACUUGCUUCACAAUGUGCCAUUUAGGGCAGAAUAGGAAAUGAAUUAUUUGAGCAAGAUGAUAAACAUGACAAAUGAAAUAUUUUGCCAUAUUUGAGAAAGAUAUAACCCAAACAAUUUAAGAGAAUUAUUUGGGAAUUUUAGGAGUGAUGGAAAUAAAGGUUGCUUCACAACCUAGGGCAGACAGGGUUAUUCCUUUAAUAGAAAAAGGAAUAUUCCUGAGAAAAAGAAAUUAGGGUUUGGUCAAGCAGUGGAGUGAGAUGAUCUUGGCAAGGUUUUGAGAAUGUUGAGCCACCUGGGAGGGGAAAUGAGGAUGAUUUCCCAGGUGACAAGGCCACAGAACCACUCGAAAAAGAAAAAACAGAGCAAAAACCAAUAAAUCAAAAAGAAAAAGAAAAGGGCCAAAAUCCAGGCUGUUACAACUCUUACCCCCUUAAAGAAAUCUCGUCCUCGAGAUUUAGUUGCUCUGGGAACAAGUAUGACUUGAGGAUACCGUUUCCAACUCUGGUAUCCAUUUCCCUUUAUCUAUUGUUCUCCCGAGAAAUUUUAUAAAAUUUUCUUACCUUGCUCUGGGGUGGUUUGCUUUACCUUUCCCAAAUCCUGAUAGGUUUUUGCUCAUAUACCAAUUCCCUUUUACUGAUGUUGAUUUUCUUAUAUCUGCGGUGAUAUCCAAUGGAUCUGAUCAUAAAUUUCCUUUUUCAUGAAAACUUUUUACUUCUGAUACCAGGUUACUCAAACAAAUGCAUGUAUUCUUGGUUCCAUAAAUGUUGAGAAUCAUGGCCAUUUUCUGACAGGAUCUGACAGCUUGCAAGUGGUACUGAUUUAUCUAGAUUUAUCCCUUUGACUCGAGCAUGGGGUCUGUACCCAAGAUUCGACUGCCUUCUGUCGUGAGUGAUAUAACGGGGUAUGGACUUAUAGUUGUGUCAUACCUCAAAUAUUAACACCUUGGGGCUGUCCUGACAGGGGGCUGCCAGGAAAAUGCUUUUCCUGACAGACUGACAGUGUACUUGAUUCCAUCGGUGAGUAUACCGGGUUCGAGCUGAUUGUUUGGCUUUUGACUUUCUCAUUUUGUCGGUAUACCCAUUUGGAUUUUUCACACUAACCAUUCCAAGCGGGUUGACGGUGAUAUGAAAUCCCUUUGCUGUCAGGCUCAUCCUUUAACGGUCAUGAUUUUCUUUGUCAGGAUACCUUACUGAAAUAACUUGGCCACACAUGUCCUUGAUUCUUCGUAUGACCAUGACCGUGGUUACUCCAAUAUUGUUCGCAUUAUUCCUUUUGCUUAUUUUCUGACCUGGGUCCGCACACAUAUGACAUAUGAUCGGGGCUUGUAGCUGUACAGAGCUCUUUGUUGAGGACAACCAUACAAGAGGGUGACAAGAGUUCAUAAUAUCACCUUGUCACGUCCGGGAAUAAUCUUCUUGGUGACCAUUGUAAAAAUUGUGGAUUCUGCGUCGUCAUCUCCAGAUCUUGUCGAUCCUCGUAUUACAUAAGAUGUGUAUCUCUGCUUAUCUUCAUUUGCAUGGAUUAUGAGGUUGUUGGGUCCGUACCUUUCUUAGGUAUAUCUCUGACAAAAUUAUUGCAAAUCUGAUCCUUGAGAUGUACUGCCAUAUACUGCCAACUCGUCAUAUAAUCUCUGAGGACGGUGCAUAGUGUGGUACUGACGCGGACUGGGUGGCUUACGAGGGAAGCCAUCCGAGUAGCUUGCUGAGGAAGGCUCUUAGAUUCUACUCGAGGCUUUUGUCUGGGUAGCGUGCAGAAGAAAUCUCGAUAGCUUACACACGAAGCUUGGUUGGAUUAUUGUGCUGGAGAAGCUUGAGUUCCGUGCAUGAGAAGCUUCUCCUCGGGUUUGCUUGUUGAGAAUAAUUCAUUUCCGUCUGUCAGAAGCUUUUACCGAGGUAUCUUGUUGAGAAAGACCGGGUACCGUGGGCCGGAAAUUGUUCACAUAUCAUGCCGAGGAAAAAUUGAGGAGCCUUGCCUCAUAAAUUUCUUCUGAUAGCGUGUGGAAUAAUGUUGGUUUUCUUAUAUCCAAAACUUCAUACUGAUAUGCAGACUGAAAUCCAUGCACACGUCCAUAAUAUUUUGCGGCUGAUUAUUUGCAUGAGAAAAUAUGUUUGACUGUCUUCCUUGAGCAUAUCACAUCCUGACUUUCUCUUGGAGUAUAACAUAUUUCAAGUACCAUUUAUUGCUGAGCCAAAACUUUGCCUAUGAUCCAUACCUUUUGACUGAAAAAUAUACCGUUGGUCUUGCAUCUGACUUGUCUUUCUGCUGGCUGGAUCAUUACUGCUGUAGAAUUGAUGAGGAUAAUCAAUCCAAGACACAAUUGGCAUUCUGAGCAGAUAUUCCUUAUAUCAUGCGGUUGACUGAGAAGGCCAUAAUGUUUAGCUGAGCUUCUUCCAAAUAUUUGAAAUACUUAUUACUUCUUCGAGUCCGGUGUCAGCUGAUGAGCAAAUCUUUAUAGGGGAAAAUUAAUAAUGUAACACCGGGGCCCAAAAAAGAAAGAAGCAAAAGAAAACUCAACUAAACAAAAACACACAACAACAAUCAAUUCACACACAAUCAAUAUCACAUAUUACUGCUAGUCACACAAUAUGCAUGCCUACUUAAGCACACAAAUCUCGCCGGAUCUCCGGCUCUACGAUCUAGCAUGCUGUGACGUUGUGCACGAGGACGAAUAAAUGUGUGGAAGAAUUGGUGUAAACGGCGCUACACCAAGUGCUAGCUUAGCCAGGUAGCAGCCUGGACUAGCUCGGAGGUGAGGACGCACUCGGUAAUCAUGUAGUGGGACACGAAGGUCGCAACCACAUUAUUAUCAAGCGGGCGGAAAAAUAUCCGUACUCGUCCAAGAAAUAGGAUAGCAGGGAAAAACUGAGGCUGCUGACAUUGCCCUUUCUUGGUAACUACGAUCAUUAAGGGUUGCCAACAUGACAAGAAAAAGGAUGAUCCGGGGUAGAAGCAUGUCUACCACCAAAACAAAAGGUGGGGCUGAAGUAAAUAAUUCGGCGCGAUACCUGAGCACCAUUUUUGCAAACAGUGUCGGGAUCACUUGGCAUCACUCUAGUGGGACAGAGAUGCCACCAAACACCGAAGAACGAGCAAGAAAAGAAAACUGGAGAAAUGCAAUGGUUGAGCUGUAGUGGAUCUGAACCGAUGCCAUCUACACUCACCAGAUUAAACCGUUAGUAACAAAAUAAGGCUAUAUGCAUGCUAUGCAGCAACCAAAUGCAAUAAACACGUCAGACUCUAUACUACUGAUUUCUACUGCUCGCACUGACUAGGGCGUCCUACAGCCAGACCUGCUCUGAUACCAAGCCUGUGGCACCCCGGCUCAGAGAAACCGGAACGCCCUGUAUUCCAGCCCAGAGAUCGAGGAAAAGUCUCUGGAAUACGGCACUGCUUGACAUAGAACAAAUCAGCUCUUAUUACAAGAAUAAUAAUUACACGGGUCUGAUGUUACAAAGAAGCACAUCAGCAUGGCGACACUACGCCUGCGAUGUUAUACUUGCUCUAUGCUAGCAGCAGAACAACUCGUAGCAGUGGAACAACGACGAAGGUGGUGAAAUCCACUCCGCAGGGACUCUGGCUGGGACACGAUCUAGCUCGCACGGCAACCACAAACAAGCAAUCAUGGCAUCACCUGCAAUCUGGCAUGACACGCCAGGUCAGUACAUUGAAUGUACUUGCAACCUCACAACAACCAUAAACAUCAAGGCAAAACAAUAACAUAGCAUUUAACAGGUUAAUUAAAUUAACAACUAUUAUGAUGAAACAACUACUAAGCCUGGGAUGAAACUAAUACAAUGCUAAUAAAUCACCAUCUCAGAUCUCCAUAACCAUAUCUCUCUUGGCUAACCGGCCAAGCAGUAUACCAUCUCGAUCACCUCGUGAUCAAAUCCAAACAGUGAUCUUUCCAGCGAUCACAACCACGACCAACAUUUGGUCUCAAACGUCAUCAUCAACAUCCUGUCAAUCUGUACUGCUCAACAUAUCAACAUAUAAAUCACAUAUAAGUCAUUCCGUCAUGUGAGUGUUGAUCAAACGGUGGGACCUAGUACGGACGCGACUAUCGAUAGAUUAAAUACACUCUGCAGAGGUAGCACACUGUACCCACACCACAGAACCCAUGGCCUCGCACUCCCAUUCGGGUGGACCAACGACGUUCCGACAAAACCGAUCUACUGCCAUGACACUCUCCCGACCACUCCGACCAACACCCCUUCUGGGUUUAGUCCUGGGUGGCCCCGUGUCUACCAAAGACACAACGACCACCGUCGUGGUCAAAACAUAAACGUCCCAAACGGGGACAAAAAGGCGCCUAAAAACAACUAGGGGCACACAAGGUUAUGUCCGCCUACCUGAUCAGGGUAGCGCGCGCCCAUAACCUUCCCUCGUUGGAGGCACCGGCGAGAGGCACGGCAAUAGACCGCAUUAGGGCAUCCCCAUAAGGAAAAUGUGGUUGCACUGGAAAAAGCCCAGUUCGGUGGCACCUUACCAACUUAAUGAUGGAAUUUAUCCCCAAAAUAUAACUGUGAUAACUGGUACUCCGAUAUCAACUAUCAAACUAGAAUCCAAAUCAUAGCAAUAUCCAACAAAUAACCCAAACAUAAUAUCAUCAUCUCAAAACACUCCAAGGGUAGCACAACACUACUGUCAUGAUGAAUCCGAAAACAAUAAUCCUACUACUCCAAUAACAAGAAUAAGGUUAUUCGGCUAAGAUCCACAUGUAACAUCAUCCCCAAAAAUAAUACUCCAAGCAACAGAACAUCAACUAGCAUCAUGAAAAUAAUCAUACUAACCACUAAUAAUCCAAAGGCAGCAUGAUAUCCAAAGUAAUAUUCCAAAAUAUAAUAACAGAUACCAUCAUGAAAAUAAUCAUAAUAUCCACUAAGAAUCAAAAGGCACAUGUCAUCCGCAUACUCAUCAAAAAUAUAAUCCUAGAACUCCAAGCAAUAUCAUGGCAAUAGCAAGAUCAAAACAAUACUCUGAGAAUGCCAUGAACAAUUCACAAGUAGCUAGAGUAAUAUUUUAAACAAGUUUAAAUAAGGAAGCCAUGUCACUGCAUUGCAAUCAUGCAAAUGGAGGGUGUGGCUUGCCUGGGGUGGAAGAAAUCACCGGGAGAAAAUGCGAGAAACUCACGGAAAGGAUCGCCGGAAAACGGAUCUCUCUCGGAGGGGUCUGAUUAACGGCAAGGGAAAAAAUAUUCAUUUUUAGAAUGUUAACACAUGGUGAAAAUGAUACCAACAGAAUGGGCUUGACAAAACAAACAGGUGGGCUUUGGAAUCACCUCAUUUGGAGUUGGGAGUGAAAAGAUAUGAUAGUUUUUCCGCCAGGGACCCAUUUGUAAUAAAAUCAUCACAAACAGGCCCUCAGCCGGAAAAACAGAACGUGCACUAGGCAGAAAUACGCCUUCUCCUCUGGAAAACGUAUUCCACGCUGAAACAGAAAGGAAAUACGCUUUCAGAUCAGCGAAAGCGCAUUCUUGUCUAAAGAAAGACGAAACUACGCUUUCGGGAAGUGAAGACGUAAUCUGUGGAUUACGCCUCCACUUAUCCACGUCAGCGUACCUGGGUCAACGGGGCUGAGGCUGCCACACGGGGCCCGUGAGGAGAAGAGGACCCGCCUGGCCUCUGUCUUCUUCCUCGUCCUGCUCCCGCACGGGACAGAGGAGGCAGGGGAGGGCGCGUCACCGGCAGCGGGCCAGCCGGCUCCGGCCGUCUCCGGCGAGGGCGACGCCACCAGAGGGCUCAGGAGUCCACACCGCCUCCAUUCAGAGAGGAAGCGGGCGCCGGGGAGAGCUAGGGUGGCUGCAACCCGCGGCAACAGAGGGACGGGGAGGCGGAGACCGAACGAGGUAGCGGCGGCCUGAGGCACUCCGGCGAGAAGCAGAGGGGGCGGGGAGGGUCGCCGGAGUGAGGGGCUUCUAGUGGUGGUGGAUAUGAGGAGAGGGAGGGCUCGGCUCGCUCCAAUCAAGGAGGAGACCCGAAGCGGCCAUGGCGACAAUGGUGGUCGUGGAGGGCUACUCGAGCUCGGGGAAGUGGUCAGGGAGUCAUGGGGGAGUGGGUAUAGGUCGCUGGUGAGGAGAAACGCACCCGUGACGGGCUUAUAUAGCCGCAGGGCGAGGAGGCCGAGCUGGCGUCGCCGCGGACGCGUGUCCGGCGCCGCGGACGCGUACCCGCGCGCAUGAACUUGGAGGCAGGCGACGAGGGAGGCACAGUGGAAUCUCUCACGGGGCAGAGGCGGCCAAGGGAGCACGGGGAGGAUGACGACGACGACGAGCAGAGCCAAAGGGAGCACUGUGCUCUCGUGGGCGCUCGGUGGCGAGCAUCGGUGAGCGUCGGUGAGGGGUUUUACUGAGAGGGAGAGAGGUCCAGGAGGACGGCGACGACGCGGUAAAACUCUUGGACAUGCUCACGCGCGUGAAGCCGACGAGAGGAGGAGCUGCCGACGCACAAACGGCCACUGGACGCGGCCAUUGCACACAGAGCGCAUGCACUGUGGUGCCAUUAACGCGGUCACCGCGUGCACUGGCAGGUAGCGAGGGAGAGGGGCUUGCCCAUGUUGUCUAGUGGGUAGUUCAUCCAGGGUAGGUCUCAACUACGGUGGUAGUUCGGUGAAAACUGCUAUGGUUAAGUGGUAAUCACCCCCUGAAGUUUACUGCAGUAAACUUGGGUGAAUACUGGUGAUCAACAGGGAUUUUACUGGUGCCAAAGAGUUUGUCUGGGGUGAUUAACUAAGGAAGGACUAUGAUCUUGGAGGUUUUGAGGCAUAAUGGAGCACAAACUAACAUAGUUGCUUUGUAACUCACAUUAUGUGUCCAGAAUCAAGAUUUGGAUGAUGCACUCACAUGGAGUAACCACUUGAGGUAAAACUUGGUAGGGCUUAGUGAUUUGGCCAGAUAAAGGUGCUGUAAAAAUUUCAUACCAAUUGGUUUUACCAAAAUGGUACUUCCUUCACAGCUAUUCCCUCUGUCCAGAAUCUUGCAAAAAUUCUAGAGAAAUAAGGGCUUGAUGAACUAUACCCAAAAUGGGUGGAGGUAGGUUAUAUGGAUAAUAGAAGGCCUAGAAAAAUUGGCAGUCAUAAUGGAGCAAGAUAAAAUAUACUUGCUUCACAAACUGAAAUUUUGGGCAGAAUCAAAGAAUUGAAGAUGAGCUCACAUGGAGGCAUGACAUGAGCUCUACUUUGGUGGAGGGCUAUUAUAUGAUGAUAUGAGGGAUCAUGCAAAAUGGCAACUCAUUUGGAUAUGCCUAGCUUGCACCUCCUUCACAAAGCUUCUUUCUGGAUAGAAACUUUGGAAAAUCAUAAUUAAAUAAUUACUAGGCAAAUGAGGUUGCAUUUUGGCAUGUGGCAAUGAUAUGGACAGGAAAAGGUGUCCAAGGAGUUUGAGGUAAAUUGGGAAAAGGAAAAUAGCACUUGCUUCAUAAUGUGCCAUUUAGGGCAGAAUAGGAAAUGAAUUAUUUGAGCAAGAUGAUAAACAUGACAAAUGAAAUAUUUUGCCAUAUGUGAGAAAGAUAUGACCCAAACAAUUUAUGAGAAUUAUUUGGGAAUAUUAGGAGUGAUGGAAAUAAAGGUUGCUUCACACCCUAGGGCAGACAGGGUUAUUCCUUUAAUAGAAAAAGGAAUAUUCCUGAGAAAAAUAAAUUAGGGUUUGGUCAAGCAGUGGAGUGACAUGAUCUUGGCAAGGUUUUGAGAAUGAUGAGCCACCUGGGAGGGGAAAUGAGGAUGAUUUCCCAGGUGACAAGGCCACAGAACCAGUCCAAAAAGAAAAAAACAGAGCAAAA